RNAcentral lists this ribosomal RNA (474 nucleotides) under uncultured bacterium. RNAcentral's name for it is "bacterial SSU rRNA". It matches the Rfam family "Bacterial small subunit ribosomal RNA", at positions 8 to 474 of the family's 1533-position model. The record is from RNAcentral.
AGAGUUUGAUCAUGCCUCAGAUUGAACGCUGGCGGUAUGCUUAACACAUGCAAGUCGAACGGUAACAGGAAAAGCUUGCUUUUCGCUGACGAGUGGCGGACGGGUGCGUAAUGCGUAGGAAUCUGCCUAGUAGUGGGGGACAACUCGGAGAAAUUCGAGCUAAUACCGCAUAAGCCCUACGGGGGAAAACGGGGGAUCUUCUGACCUCGUGCUAUUAGAUGAGCCUACGUUAGAUUAGCUUGUUGGUGAGGUAAAAGCUCACCAAGGCGACGAUCUAUAGCUGGUCUGAGAGGAUGAUCAGCCACACUGGGACUGAGACACGGCCCAGACUCCUACGGGAGGCAGCAGUGGGGAAUAUUGGACAAUGGGCGAAAGCCUGAUCCAGCAAUACCGCGUGUGUGAAGAAGGCCUGAGGGUUGUAAAGCACUUUCAAUUGGGAGGAAUACCUAAUGGUUAAUAGCCAUUAGAUUGACA